AUUCCUACGGGACGCAGCAGUGGGGAAUAUUGGGCAAUGGGCGCAAGCCUGACCCAGCAACGCCGCGUGAAGGAAGAAGGCUUUCGGGUUGUAAACUUCUUUUAUUCGGGACGAAGCAAGUGACGGUACCGAAUGAAUAAGCCACGGCUAACUACGUGCCAGCAGCCGAGGUAAUACGUAGGUGGCGAGCGUUAUCCGGAUUUACUGGGUGUAAAGGGCGUGUAGGCGGGAGUGCAAGUCAGAUGUGAAAACUAUGGGCUCAACCCAUAGCCUGCGUUUGAAACU
This 285-nucleotide ribosomal RNA is filed under the name uncultured bacterium. RNAcentral describes it as "partial 16S ribosomal RNA". It matches the Rfam family "Bacterial small subunit ribosomal RNA", at positions 335 to 634 of the family's 1533-position model. The record is from RNAcentral.